RNAcentral lists this ribosomal RNA (484 nucleotides) under uncultured bacterium. RNAcentral describes it as "partial 16S ribosomal RNA". It matches the Rfam family "Bacterial small subunit ribosomal RNA", at positions 30 to 507 of the family's 1533-position model. The record is from RNAcentral.
AUUGAACGCUAGCGGAAUGCUUUACACAUGCAAGUCGAACGGCAGCACGGGGGCAGCCCUGGUGGCGAGUGGCGAACGGGUGAGUAAUACAUCGGAACGUGCCCGGUCGUGGGGGAUAACGUAGCGAAAGUUACGCUAAUACCGCAUACGAUCUGAGGAUGAAAGCGGGGGACCUUCGGGCCUCGCGCGAUCGGAGCGGCCGAUGUCAGAUUAGGUAGUUGGUGGGGUAAAGGCCUACCAAGCCGACGAUCUGUAGCUGGUCUGAGAGGACGACCAGCCACACUGGGACUGAGACACGGCCCAGACUCCUACGGGAGGCAGCAGUGGGGAAUUUUGGACAAUGGGCGCAAGCCUGAUCCAGCCAUUCCGCGUGCAGGACGAAGGCCUUCGGGUUGUAAACUGCUUUUGUACGGAACGAAAAGGCUCUGGCUAAUACCUGGGGCUCAUGACGGUACCGUAAGAAUAAGCACCGGCUAACUACGUG